GUCCUCACUUUUGAGAUAAGUUGAAACGGAGAGUCAACGAGGCUCCGUCUUGCAGCUACAUCCGGUUAAAUAUAUCAUGUGACUUGAACGCUGGGGAGCGUCAAUCGAAUCGAAUCAAACCUAACUCUCAGAUGAAUCUUCAAAAUUCACCUCAGAAAUAUGCUUAUUAUUCUUCUCAGAGUACUGCAGGAUACACACACACACACACACACACACACACACACACACACACACACACACACACACACACACACACACACACACUCAGAGUCUGUUUUUUAGCACCUGCAAAAACAUGCUAUUUACAUAUUUGACAAGAAUGCAGAGGCUUCCUUUUGCCCCUGAAAAAAAUCAAAUUUCAAACACAACUUGACUGCUCAUUUCUCCAAAAGACAACCAUGAAGCUCCAUCCAAACCUGAAGCAGGCAGUUGGUGCAUGUGUACAGUAACCUGAGGGGAGUGAGGUGACUGCUUCUGAGGAGAACAUGAGCAGUGAAGAUUCACCUUGGAGCUAGAACAGAGACAUGCACAUGAUUAUACAGGGGCAGGGGCUCAAGUUUUUUCCAGUCGUUUAUACAAUAUGGAAAUUAAUGUGAAAUUAAAAAACAAAGUAUGACUGUCCUGUGUAGGUGACAGUGAUAUCCAAUAGGCUAGGCACUCACGAGGCUGGCUGUGGCAAGUGUAAGUGAAAGCAACACGCACUGGCAGGAAGAACAGCAAACGCUGAUGAAGGAAAAGGGUCUUUGCAGUGAUGGGCGUUACCAGAGAGGGCGAUGGCCAGAGGACACAAAUGGGACGGGAAGGCAGCACGUUGGGGGGGGGGGGGAGGGACACGGCUCGGGCCCGCCAGUGCCCCAACGGGGCCCUAGUUUCUUCUUUUUCCUCCCCUUUGAACUGGAAAAUGGCCCACUUCCCACUGGCGAAAACUCAUGAAAUUUGGCAGGAUGACCGGGCCUGGUGAAAAAUUUGAUAUUCCGAAGUCGCCCAAACAAGAAAAUGCAAAAUGGCUCCAUAGCGCCCCCUAAGGUGAAAAUUCACACUAUUGACUGUCACGCCUUUACGCUUUGUCAUAUUGACACAAAAAUUGACACACACAUGUAUCUCAAUAAGAUCUACAAAAAAGUCAGUGCGGGCGUAUCUGUCAAAUGUACGGUUAAAGGGUUAUUGCGCAUUUUUUGCUGACCCGCACACAUUGGAAUUUCGCUAACUCCUCCUAAGGCUGGCGUUCCACCGGCACCACAUUUGCUCAGGCCAAUCUACACCCCAUGGCCAUUAAAAGUUAUUCAAAUCAUGACGCUGCACCCCACGGUUUAGGUUCUAGGGGGCGCCAAAGAUAACCCUAAAAUCCACAUAUUUAAAAGUCUUAUAACUUUUUAUUUUUGUCCUCACUGGCCUCCAAGUUUUCUAGGAUGAUGCAAUGUCCAGCCAUCAACACAUUUGUGAAGGAAUUUUUACUCCCCAAAAGAGCGCCCCCCCAUGGCAGGAGAAAAAAGUCCAUUUUUUCUUGUCCCAUAAGGUGAAAAAACACAUUGUUGACUGUCAUACCUGUACGCUUUGUCAUAUUGACACAAAAUUUGACAAUCACAUGUAUCUCAAUAAGAUCUACGAAAAAGUCAAUGCGCGCGUAUCUGUAAAAUGUACGGUUAAAGGGCUAUUUUGCAUUUUUUGCCGAUUCGCACACAUUGGAAUGUGGCUAACUCCUCCUAAGGCUUUCGUCCCACUGACACCAAAUUUGCUCAGGCCAAUCUACACCCCAUGGCCAUUCAAAGUUGUAAAAAUCAUGACGCUGCACCCCACGGUUUACGUUCUAGGGGGCGCCAAAGAUGACCCAAAUAUCCACAUUCUUAAAAGAAUCCACAUCCCCCCCCCCCUCAUCCCCCAACCCUCAUGGCAGGAGAAACAGUCAAGUUUUUCCUGCCCAUCACUCAAUGGCUCAAUCGCAUCACUCUCCCGGCAACACCGUAACAAGGAGCAACUUGCCGUUUGGAUAUAUCCUAGCUGUGUUUGUGCCCUCACUCAUGGUCCAGACUUUUUUCAAAUAGGACAUGUAGUUUGUCUGCAGCGAGUGUUUUGGUAGAAACUGCGCCUCCCAUUCAUUAUAAUGGGAAAUGACCACAGACAAGUGCGCACACCAUCUUUGGACCUUGAGUGUGACGCGAUCGGGAGGGGGAGGCGGUCGCGCUGGGGGCGGCGCAACGCGGCUCGGGCCCGACAGUGCCCCACCGGGGCCCUAGUUAGGGCCCGAGCCAGCUGCAGAGCAGCCGGGCGUAGAGCCCUAUUAUUCCUGUAUAGGUUUUUCUUUCUUCUUUCUUUAGGGCCCGAGCCAGCUGCAGAGCAGCCGGGCGUAGGCCCUGUUAUUCCUGUAGGGGUUUUUCUUUGUUUCUUUCUUUCUUCUUUUUCCUCCCCUUUGAACUGGAAAAUGGCCCACUUCCCACUGGCGAAAACUCAGGAAAUUUGGCAGGACGACCGGGCCUGGUGAAAAAUUUGAUAUUCCGAAGUCGCCCAAACAAGAAAAUGCAAAAUGGCUCCAUAGCGCCCCCUAAGGUGAAAAUUCACACUAUUGACUGUCACGCCUGUACGCUUUGUCAAAAUGACACAAAAAUUGACACACACAUGUAUCUCAAUAAGAUCUACAAAAAAGUCAGUGCGGGCGUAUCUGUCAAAUGUACGGUUAAAGGGUUAUUUCGCAUUUUUUGCCGAUCCGCACACAUUGGAAUUUCGCUAACUCCUCCGAAGGCUUUCGUUCCACCGGCACCACAUUUGCUCAGGCCAAUCUACACCCCAUGGCCACUAAAAGUUAUUCAAAUCAUGACGCUGCACCCCACGGUUUAGGUUCUAGGGGGCGCCAAAGAUAACCCUAAAAUCCACAUUUUUAAAAGUCUUAUAACUUUUUAUUUUUGCCCUCACUGGCCUCCAAGUUUUCUAGGAUGAUGCAAUGUCCAGCCAUCAACACAUUUGUGAAGGAAUUUUUACUCCCCAAAAGAGCGCCCCCCCAUGGCAGGAGAAAAAAGUCCAUUUUUUUCUUGUCCCCUAAGGUGAAAAUACACAUUGUUGAGUGUCACGCCUGUACGCUUUGUCAAAAUGACACAAAAAUUGACACACACAUGUAUCUCAAUAAGAUCUACAAAAAAGUCCAUGCGCGCGUAUCUGUCUAAUGUACGGUUAAAGGGUUAUUCGGCAUUUUUUGCCGAUUCGCACACAUUGGAAUUUCGCUAACUCCUCCGAAGGCUUUCGUUCCACCGGCACCACAUUUGCUCAGGCCAAAUUACACCCCAUGGCCAUUAAAAGUUAUUCAAAUCAUGACGCUGCACCCCACGGUUUACGUUCUAGGGGGCGCCAAAGAUAACCCAAAAAUCCACAUUUUUAAAAGUCUUAUAACUUUUUAUUUUUGUCCUCACUGGCCUCCAAGUUUUCUAGGAUGAUGCAAUGUCCAGCCAUCAACACAUUUGUGAAGGAAUUUUUACUCCCCAAAAGAGCGCCCCCCCAUGGCAGGAGAAAAAAGUCCAUUUUUUCUUGUCCCCUAAGGUGAAAAUACACAUUGUUGACUGUCACGCCUGUACGCUUUGGCAAAAUGACACAAAAAUUGACAAUCAUGUGUAUCUCAAUUAGGUCUACGAAAAAGUCAAAGAGCGCGUAUCUGUAUAAUGUACGGUAAAAGGGCUAUUUUGCAUUUUUUGCCGAUUCGCACACAUUGGAAUUUCGCUAACUCCUCCUAAGGCUUUCGUCCCACUGACACCAAAUUUGCCCAGGCCAAUCUACACUCCAUGGCCAUUCAAAGUUGUAAAAAUCAUGACGCUGCACCCCACGGUUUACGUUUUAGGGGGCGCCAAAGAUGACCCAAAUAUACAUUACAGUAGACAAUGUAGUUUUGCCCACUGAGUGGCGCCAAAGGGACUUGUCUGUGGAGUCUGUGAGUCACUAUUGGCCGUUUUUGACUACUUUAGAUUUUACCUUUAUAUUUCCUCUUACAAAAUUUUUACCUUGCCUUGCCUGGUAUCAUUUUUUUCAGCACAACCUCACCUGUGUCAAUUUACAGUUAUUUUAUCAUUUUGACAUACUAUAUUUACACAUUGGACCCAAAUUCACACACAAAACAUAAAAUCCGAGUGGAAAAAAGUAAUGUUUUUACUGUGAAAACCACAAAUAUGUGUGAUGAACUGUUUUUAAAACUUAAACUUCAAAUAAAAAUUGUAAACUUCAAAACAUAUGCAAAUUUUUAACAAAGAACAUAGUGAUUUACCUCUAUUUACAUCAAAAUGCAGGCAAUGGCCCAGGCGUUCUUUGUAAAAUUAUUUACAAAACACUGUAUAGUCUCACAAAUGUCACUUUUUAUUUAUGCCACUACAAAAAAACAUGAUGUAAAUGAUGCAUGAUGUAAAACAUGAUGUAAAAAACUUGUGUAGAUCCUCCUCUAUGUCAGUCCAUGUGUAAUUUUUCCAUAAUUCUUUGUUUUUUGCAGCAUUUUUGUUAGUGUAACUGCAGAUUGUGCUGACAGUGUCUAUGGCAAAAAAAAAAAAAAAAUUAAAAUGCCUCAACAUGAACCCCUGGUGGUCUCUGAGGGUGAAACCUGCUAACUGCUGCAGCUCUGUCAGCUUCAGUCUCCCAUGCAGAGCUCGGAGCGCAUGUGUGGCUCUGCACCCUUAGCAGCGUUGCUAACUCCUCAGUAAGGAAAGCCUGCUUCAUGUCAGAGUCUCUAAACUCCAGAAGAAGUCGAUAAAAGUCCCUUUCUUUCUAAAAAAAAGUCGUUAGGGGGUCUGAAAAGUCAUUGAAUCUAACAACAAAGUCGCUAGGUUUGCAACUACGUGUCCCAGACUGCAUCCCUGCUGAGAGUCCCUCCCUCCCUUCUCAUGUUGCAGGAAGAACGUAAGCGCCCUCCCCUUGUCAAUCAGUCACCAUAUAAUUUUGGAUUGGUUGUUGUGGUGAAGUUUUCCACCAAUAGGAGAGAUGUUGUGGUGUGUUUUUUUUUUCUUUUGGCAAGCCUUUUCCGCCUGUAAGACCUGUCGCUAAUGUCUGCAUGCUAUGUUUUCCUGUCUCAUACAGCGCGAUCGAGCGCCGAACGUGAUCAAAAUAAGCAGAAAAAAAGUAUCGCGGACAUAAUUUAUCAUAACUCUGGUUUUAUUUGGCCUAUCAACACAAUUUAAAAACUGGUAUAUAGGUUGAGGUCCUCACUUUUGAGAUAAGUUGAAACGGAGAGUCAACGAGGCUCCGUCUUGCAGCUACAUCCGGUUAAAUAUGUCAUGUGACUUGAACGCACACACAGACACACACACACGCACACACACACACACACUCAGAGUCUGGUUUUUAGCACCUGCAAAAACAUGCUAUUUACAUAUUUGACAAGAAUGCAGAGGCUCCUUUUGCCCCUGAAAAAAAUCAAAUUUCAAACACAACUUGACUGGUCAUUUCUCCAGAAGACAACCAUGAAGCUCCAUCCAAACCUGAAGCAGGCAGUUGGUGCAUGUGUACAGUAACCUGAGGGGAGUGAGGUGAGUGCUUCUGAGGAGAACAUGAGCAGUGAAGAUUCACCUUGGAGCUAGAACAGAGACAUGCACAUGAUUAUACAGGGGCAGGGGCUCAAGUUUUUUCCAGUCGUUUAUACAAUAUGGAAAUUAAUGUGAAAUUAAAACACAAAGUAUUAAUAGAAAG
This 5649-nucleotide long non-coding RNA is filed under the name Xyrichtys novacula (pearly razorfish). Lineage: Eukaryota; Metazoa; Chordata; Actinopteri; Labriformes; Labridae. The record is from RNAcentral.